Molecule: ribosomal RNA, 1162 nt
Filed under: Phormidium irriguum CCALA 759
Lineage: Bacteria; Bacillati; Cyanobacteriota; Cyanophyceae; Oscillatoriales; Oscillatoriaceae
Also listed under: 1 other name
Description: bacterial SSU rRNA
Rfam family: Bacterial small subunit ribosomal RNA
Source: RNAcentral
GGGGAAUUUUCCGCAAUGGGCGAAAGCCUGACGGAGCAAGACCGCGUGAGGGAGGAAGGCUCUUGGGUUGUAAACCUCUUUUCUCAAGGAAGAAGAACUGACGGUACUUGAGGAAUCAGCAUCGGCUAACUCCGUGCCAGCAGCCGCGGUAAUACGGAGGAUGCAAGCGUUAUCCGGAAUCAUUGGGCGUAAAGAGCCGUAGGUGGUACUUCAAGUCGGUUGUCAAAGACCACAGCUUAACUGUGGAAAGGCAGUGGAAACUGAAGAGCUAGAGAAUGGUAGGGGCAGAGGGAAAUCCCGGUGUAGCGGUGAAAUGCGUAGAGAUCGGGAAGAACACCAGUGGCGAAAGCGCUCUGCUGGACCAUAACUGACACUGAGGGACGAAAGCUAGGGGAGCGAAUGGGAUUAGACACCCCAGUAGUCCUAGCCGUAAACGAUGGAUACUAGGCGUUGGUAGUAUCGACCCUACCAGUGCCGCAGCUAACGCGCUAAGUAUCCCGCCUGGGGAGUACGCACGCAAGUGUGAAACUCAAAGGAAUCGACGGGGGCCCGCACAAGCGGUGGAGUAUGUGGUUUAAUUCGAUGCAACGCGAAGAACCUUACCAGGGCUUGACAUGUCCGGAAUCUUUGGGAAACCAAAGAGUGCCUUCGGGAACCGGAACACAGGUGGUGCAUGGCUGUCGUCAGCUCGUGUCGUGAGAUGUUGGGUUAAGUCCCGCAACGAGCGCAACCCUCGUUCUUAGUUGCCAGCAUUCAGUUGGGCACUCUAAGGAGACUGCCGGUGACAAACCGGAGGAAGGUGGGGAUGACGUCAAGUCAUCAUGCCCCUUACGUCCUGGGCUACACACGUACUACAAUGCUUCAGACAAAGGGCAGCUAGCCAGCGAUGGUCUGCUAAUCCCGUAAACUGAGGCUCAGUUCAGAUCGCAGGCUGCAACUCGCCUGCGUGAAGGCGGAAUCGCUAGUAAUCGCAGGUCAGCAUACUGCGGUGAAUACGUUCCCGGGCCUUGUACACACCGCCCGUCACACCAUGGAAGCUGGCCAUGCCCGAAGUCGUUACUCCAACCUGAAAAGGAGGAGGACGCCGAAGGUGGGGCUGGCGACUGGGGUGAAGUCGUAACAAGGUAGCCGUACCGGAAGGUGUGGCUGGAUCACCUCCUUU